RNAcentral lists this ribosomal RNA (431 nucleotides) under uncultured Flavobacteriia bacterium. RNAcentral describes it as "bacterial SSU rRNA". It matches the Rfam family "Bacterial small subunit ribosomal RNA", at positions 385 to 813 of the family's 1533-position model. Lineage: Bacteria; Pseudomonadati; Bacteroidota; Flavobacteriia. The record is from RNAcentral.
GAUCCAGCUAUGCCGCGUGCAGGAUGACAGCCCUACGGGUUGUAAACUGCUUUUAUACAGGAAGAAAAACCCCGACGUGUCGGGGCUUGACGGUACUGUAAGAAUAAGGAUCGGCUAACUCCGUGCCAGCAGCCGCGGUAAUACGGAGGAUCCAAGCGUUAUCCGGAAUUAUUGGGUUUAAAGGGUCCGCAGGCUGUUUUUUAAGUCAGAGGUGAAAUCCUGCAGCUCAACUGUAGAAUUGCCUUUGAAACUGAAAGACUUGAGUUAUUGUGAAGUGGUUAGAAUGUGUGGUGUAGCGGUGAAAUGCAUAGAUAUCACACAGAAUACCAAUUGCGAAGGCAGAUCACUAACAAUUAACUGACGCUCAGGGACGAAAGCGUGGGUAGCGAACAGGAUUAGAUACCCUGGUAGUCCACGCCGUAAACGAUGGA